CACGUAGGGGGCGAGCGUUGUCCGGAUUUAUUGGGCGUAAAGAGCUCGUAGGCGGCUUUGUCAGUCGGGUGUGAAACCUCCAGGCUCAACCUGGAGCCGCCACCCGAUACUGCAAUAGCUAGAGUCCGGUAGGGGAGCAUGGAACUCCUGGUGUAGCGGUGAAAUGCGCAGAUAUCAGGAAGAACACCAGUGGCGAAGGCGGUGCUCUGGGCCGGAACUGACGCUGAGGAGCGAAAGCGUGGGGAGCAAA
RNAcentral lists this ribosomal RNA (250 nucleotides) under uncultured bacterium. RNAcentral's name for it is "partial 16S ribosomal RNA". It matches the Rfam family "Bacterial small subunit ribosomal RNA", at positions 524 to 772 of the family's 1533-position model. The record is from RNAcentral.